UUCGCCUAAUUGCAUCGAGGACUUUGCUUGCUUGCAUCGAGGACUUCGCCUACUUGGAUUGAGGAUUUUGCUUGCUGUUUGGGAACUACAUCUAUAUGAAUUGGGAUCCAUGCCUAUGGAAUUGGGAACUAUGCCCGUCGAACUGGUGAUUAUAGAGAUUUCUAACUACUUUCCAUUCUAUGAAACAAUUUACCACUUCAGGUUAAUUUAGUAAUUUUCCACUUUUG
RNAcentral lists this long non-coding RNA (227 nucleotides) under Ricinus communis (castor bean). Its description in RNAcentral is "long non-coding RNA (RCOM_LNC001700)". Lineage: Eukaryota; Viridiplantae; Streptophyta; Magnoliopsida; Malpighiales; Euphorbiaceae. The record is from RNAcentral.